This 624-nucleotide ribosomal RNA is filed under the name Triticum aestivum (bread wheat). RNAcentral's name for it is "partial small subunit ribosomal RNA". The record is from RNAcentral. Lineage: Eukaryota; Viridiplantae; Streptophyta; Magnoliopsida; Poales; Poaceae.
AUGCCUGCGCGUUCUUUUAUGCGUCUGCGCGCUGCUCUCUCUCUUCUCGCCCAUGCAUUCAAUUUCAUCCAUCCAUCCAUCUGGGUGCAGAGCCUCGACCGGUGGAUUCCGAUCGGUCGAGACGCCGCUACAGUGCCGAGUGGGCUGCUACAAGAGGCAGUGUCUACGGGUGAGGCUCCGUGCUGGCUGAGGGAAUCGCCCAUGGAAGGCUCCCGGGGGAGGUGUAGAUGGGGUGGCAGGCGCAGAUCCAUGCUAAUGGUGGCGCUGGCCUUGUGCUUCGUCGUGGGCGUCUCCCUGUGCUGCUGCGCCCGGUCCGGGGCUUGCAGUGCCAGUGGCUGCAGUGGGAGGAGUACUGUGGUGGCGCUCCGUUCAGAUUUUUGGAGACGAAGAACAGCAUCGUUCGGUAAUCAGGAGCGGUUAGGCGCCAGCGGGAGCGGGGGAGGACGGAGGCUGCUGGUGGUAGCCGGGCCGGGGUCGUACCCGCCGCGGUGCACGUCCAAGUGCGGCAGCUGCAACCCGUGCUACCCGGUGCACGUGGCCGUGCCGCCGGGGGUGCCGGUCACCACGGAGUACUACCCGGAGGCGUGGCGGUGCAGGUGCGGCAACCGGCUCUACAUGCCAUGA